UCGUAAGCAUAGGCUUGAAAUAUUUCUGAAUAUCACAUUUUUUUCCAAUAUUAUAAUUUCUGUUACAGAAGCAUCCUGGGGACGCCAGCUGAGAUUGACACCCCACUGUUGUCGAUGCUGUACGCACGUAGGACAUGAAUUCCCUGCCCGGCUGCCAAGUGCAAAGGCACUUUUGCUGUGGGAAAAUCUGAGAUUUUGUGGAAAAUGUGUUCCAGAGCCUUUUGAAUCAGGUAACGCAACGUUUUAUGCACAGCAUUGAAUACUUACUCGCGUAAGUAUUGUCCUUGCCAUUCACAUACUUCUGCACUCUCCACGCUCCAGAAUCCGGCCCACGC
This 335-nucleotide long non-coding RNA is filed under the name Struthio camelus australis. Its description in RNAcentral is "lncRNA (ENSSCUG00000017306.1)". Lineage: Eukaryota; Metazoa; Chordata; Aves; Struthioniformes; Struthionidae. The record is from RNAcentral.